This 497-nucleotide ribosomal RNA is filed under the name uncultured bacterium. RNAcentral's name for it is "partial 16S ribosomal RNA". It matches the Rfam family "Bacterial small subunit ribosomal RNA", at positions 28 to 507 of the family's 1533-position model. The record is from RNAcentral.
GAUGAACGCUGGCGGCGUGCCUAAUACAUGCAAGUCGAGCGAACAGACGAGGAGCUUGCUCCUCUGACGUUAGCGGCGGACGGGUGAGUAACACGUGGAUAACCUACCUAUAAGACUGGGAUAACUUCGGGAAACCGGAGCUAAUACCGGAUAAUAUAUUGAACAGCAUGGUUCAAUAGUGAAAGACGGUUUUGCUGUCACUUAUAGAUGGAUCCGCGCCGCAUUAGCUAGUUGGUAAGGUAACGGCUUACCAAGGCAACGAUGCGUAGCCGACCUGAGAGGGUGAUCGGCCACACUGGAACUGAGACACGGUCCCGACUCCUACGGGAGGCAGCAGUAGGGAAUCUUCCGCAAUGGGCGAAAGCCUGACGGCGCAACGCCGCGUGAGUGAUGAAGGUCUUCGGAUCGUAAAACUCUGUUAUUAGGGAAGAACAAAUUUGUAAGUAACUAUGCACGUCUUGACGGUACCUAAUCAGAAAGCCACGGCUAACUACGUG